Molecule: long non-coding RNA, 948 nt
Filed under: Mustela putorius furo (domestic ferret)
Lineage: Eukaryota; Metazoa; Chordata; Mammalia; Carnivora; Mustelidae
Description: lncRNA (ENSMPUG00000027824.1)
Source: RNAcentral
GAGAAGAGGGCUUCAGAAAGCAUUCCAGUCCACACAACUCUGAACCUUUGUGUCACCCACCUGGCACCUGAAACUCCUCCCAAUGUCCCCAGCCGGCCGCUGUUUCCACACCCUCAGAACAGGGGAACUCGGCUCCCCCCGAACCACCCAUUUCCUCCUUGGUCAGCACUGACUGUGGUGAGGUCUCGGAUUGAAUGCACCUCAACUCCUGUCACUUCAGCCAAGAGACGGGAUAUUCUCAUUGAGGAGCCCCAAGCCUUCAUCCCCCUUUCUCUCCUGGAUACUCAGCCAGGCCCUUCCUGACAGCUUCUACAUCCCCUUACUUCCCAGCCCUGUUCCUAUAGUCCAGGGGGCGCGGCAUGGAGGCCCCUGGCCCUCCUGCUAUCCCACCGUGGGACUGCUUGCUAUGUCUAUACCCUUGGAAGACUGUGGCGCCCAGAGUAGCGUUCCUGCCCAGCGGGCUGAGAUGUCGCGAAGUUUCCCAUGUGUGGUUGACUGCUUGGGGCUCCUUCAGCCUCUCCAAGAGUCAGCAUGGAGAGUGGUGGGAGGCCUCUGGCUUCCCUGCUCCCUCCCAGGUCCAGAAAGUCUUUUCUACUCUACUGCUCACCCUCCAGAGCUCUGCUUGACUGCCGUCUUCUUCCAGGAUCUUCCACGGCCUCUUCCUCCUCUGACACCUUCUAGCUUCUCUGGAAAACCCGCGCUUGGCAACCUUCCAUUUGGUGUUAUCUGAUGGGUGAGACAGAGCUUCAAGAAGGGCUAACUAUCCAUGAGACACCAUACGUGCUGCCCAUGAUACAUUCAGGGGCCCACAGAAAUGUCACUCUUUCUUUUAAAAUCAAGAUGAAAAAACAAACCAAAAAAAUGAAUAUAUAACAAUGAAUCCAAACCGAUUAUAUUCAUCUUGAUACCUAUGCAGUGGUCUUUUAAAAUAAUUUUUGAUGGAGCUUC